This 125-nucleotide transfer RNA is filed under the name Caudoviricetes sp. Its description in RNAcentral is "tRNA-Asn". It matches the Rfam family "tRNA". From Rfam's summary of the family: Transfer RNA (tRNA) molecules are approximately 80 nucleotides in length. Their secondary structure includes four short double-helical elements and three loops (D, anti-codon, and T loops). Lineage: Duplodnaviria; Heunggongvirae; Uroviricota; Caudoviricetes. The record is from RNAcentral.
GCCAGGAUAGCUCAGCUGGUAGAGCACGUAACAUCAACCAACGCGGGUUGUAUAAUUCGCGCACAGCAAUUUUAUUGAUUUGCCUGUUAAGCACGUGGUCGUGGGUUCGAGUCCCGCUCCUGGCG